AGUGAACGCUGGCGGUAGGCCUAACACAUGCAAGUCGAACGGCAGCACAGUAAGAGCUUGCUCUUACGGGUGGCGAGUGGCGGACGGGUGAGGAAUACAUCGGAAUCUACUUUUUCGUGGGGGAUAACGUAGGGAAACUUACGCUAAUACCGCAUACGACCUACGGGUGAAAGCAGUGGAUCUUCGGACCUUGCGCGAUUGAAUGAGCCGAUGUCGGAUUAGCUAGUUGGCGGGGUAAAGGCCCACCAAGGCGACGAUCCGUAGCUGGUCUGAGAGGAGGAUAAGCCACACUGGAACUGAGACACGGUCCAGACUCCUACGGUAGGCAGCAGUGGGGAAUAUUGGACAAUGGGCGCAAGCCUGAUCCAGCCAUACCGCGUGGGUGAAGAAGGCCUUCGGGUUGUAAAGACCUUUUGUUGGGAAAGAAAAGCAGCAGGUUAAUACCCCGCUGUUCUGACGGUACCCAAAGAAUAAGCACCGGCUAACUUCGUG
This 492-nucleotide ribosomal RNA is filed under the name uncultured bacterium. RNAcentral describes it as "partial 16S ribosomal RNA". It matches the Rfam family "Bacterial small subunit ribosomal RNA", at positions 29 to 507 of the family's 1533-position model. The record is from RNAcentral.